GUGGGGAAUCUUGCGCAAUGGGCGAAAGCCUGUCGCAGCCAUGCCGCGUGAAUGAUGAAGGUCUUAGGAUUGUAAAAUUCUUUCACCGGGGACGAUAAUGACGGUACCCGGAGAAGAAGCUCCGGCUAACUUCGUGCCAGCAGCCGCGGUAAUACGAAGGGGGCUAGCGUUGCUCGGAAUUACUGGGCGUAAAGGGCGCGUAGGCGGACAGCUUAGUCAGAGGUGAAAGCCCAGGGCUCAACCUUGGAAUUGCCUUUGAUACUGGCUGUCUUGAGUUUGGGAGAGGUGAGUGGAACUCCGAGUGUAGAGGUGAAAUUCGUAGAUAUUCGGAAGAACACCAGUGGCGAAGGCGACUCACUGGCCCAAUACUGACGCUGAGGCGCGAAAGCGUGGGGAGCAAACAGGAUUAGAAACCCGAGUAGUCC
This 425-nucleotide ribosomal RNA is filed under the name uncultured bacterium. Its description in RNAcentral is "partial 16S ribosomal RNA". It matches the Rfam family "Bacterial small subunit ribosomal RNA", at positions 354 to 796 of the family's 1533-position model. The record is from RNAcentral.